UCAGGGGAAGCUGAAUUUCUUCUCACUUCAGUGAGAAGAUGCAUUUAUACAGAUUAAUAAAUACUUCCAUAUGAUACCAGUGUGAUAAAACCAUUAAAAUUCACAUAAUCUUUAAAUUAUUUUUAAAAGUGUCAGACAAUACAUACCAUUAGGCACAGAGAUAUAAAAAGGCGCUGAACAAAUCAUGAUGGCACUAUAUCUGUCCUUUCUUGCAGAAUACUUAUAUUCAAGGAAUAUAUAUUUAAACUGAAAUUGGUGCAUGAAAAGGAACAACCAGAUCCUCCUUUCUAAAGAGACAUUAAAAGGUUUUGACUUGCUCACAUCAAAGAAAUGGAGAUCAGAAGUUACUUAAACUAAAUGCAAUACUGUCACAAGGUUAAAACAAAACACAGGAAAACCCAAAGCAAACAAAACAAAACAGAAAAAGGAGACAAAACCAUGUUCUGGAAUAUAUUUCAAACAGGAAUAGCAGGAAUACCUAUCAGGCCUUGAGAGACAGCCUAACCAGCUUGUGACAGGAAACAGGGCUCUAUAUUCCAGAUGUUCCCCUAUAUUCCAUUUCGCCAUGAAGUCAUAGUCUCUUCCCUUCUUCUGUCCAUCAAAGUUUUAAUUAUUCCAGAUGAGGUUGAUGAUGAAUGAGGUUAUUUGAUCUGGAGACGAGGAGGCUCAGGAGGGACCUCAUUGCUCUCUGAAAGGAUGUUGUAGUGAGUGGAGAGUUGACCUCUUCUGCCAUGUCUCAAGUGAAAGGAUGAGAGGAAAUGGUCUCAAGAUGUGCCAGGGAAUGUUUAGAUUAGGUAUUAGGAGAAAAAAAAAAGUCACUGAAUAACUGGUCAGGCACUGGAAAAAGUUGGGAGAUGUUAGGGUCACUGUCUCUGGAAGUCUUCAAGAGGCAUCUGGAUGUGGCACUUGGGGAUGCAUUUUAGGGGUGAUUAUGGUGGGUUGGUGGUUGAACUGGGUGAUUUUUAAGGUCUCUUGCAACCUUGAUGAUUCUGUGAUUCUGUGAAACGCGUGGAAUAGGGAUGAAAACAAGGCCACCCUCAGCUUGCUAAUUAAUGCCAAGCUAUUAAGGUACACGUGCCAGAUGCAGGCUCAAAUACCUUUUGAGACAAUCUGUCGAAGUUGCUGGGAUUAUUCUAUGUCUCUCACUAGAAAUUAUUUCCAAGCUUAAAACCAGAAACCAGCUCAGGGCCUUGUAUACCUUUGCAGCUCUCUUUGUGAGCAUGUGUCAGAAAGGAGCAGGGUUUAGGACAAAUUCUUCUGUUUUCACAUUUUAUCUAGUAGUGCACCACUUGUGGAGUUCUCCAGGUGAGAACUUUAUAAUUGUAUCCAAGAACAGAAUACUUAACUUUCUCCAUUUCUCCAUUUCUCCCAGCCAUUGGAGAUGCAAAUGAACACAGAUAUUCUGCUAGGAGCAAUAAAUUCCACUAGAUGUCAGCGUAUGUAAAAAUUAGGCGCUGCCGUUAUAAUCCAACAUAUACUUAAGGGCCUUGCCAAGUCGUUAUCCAUGUUAUCCACUGGGCUCUUGGAAUGAUCUGCUUGACUGUUCUUGUAUUUGUAUUAACUCAAAGAUGCACAUAGCAGCACUUAACACAAAGGCAUGCCUCCUGUGGAUUAUGAUGUAAUCUAAAUAAGCAGUCAAAUACUUAUAAACACAGUUGAUCUUGAUUUUCUGCAAGUUGCCUUCACCAAUAUUUUUUAUCUCUUAGCUCUUAGAAAACUGAAUUUUUGAUAUUUUUCUUACUACAAUUAGACAGAAAACUGAAAUUUUGAUGUAUUUUUUACUACAAUUAGACCUUUCUAAGAAGGGGUAGAAGCUACUUUGAAAAGGAAAGUGAUAUUUACUUUCUUUUAACAGGAACGGAGAUUCUGUAAUCCUCAGAAUCUUGAGGAAGGCAGAAUUUCUUACUGGACAUGGUAAACUUGUCCAGUAGUAGCUCUUUCCAGGUAUUUUGUGUUCUCAUUUGCUGGGAAAGGAGAAGAGUAGGAGCUAAACAUCCAAGGUAACAGUGUAAUUAUCUUUGGUUGAGGCAAAAGACCAGAAAUAAUCAACUGGGCAUCUCAAGCUUUUCUGUUAGCCAAGAAUAUUAUUUCCUGGCCAUUUCAUGAAUCUUGCUCUAAAGAAAAGAGAAUUAGCAUCAACAUAGGUUUCCUGUAUUUAUCUCUGUAUGGUGUCUUUAACAAACAUGAAUUAAACUUGUAGCACUUCUGUGAGGCAAAAAUUACUGACCACAAAUGUAGAGACAAAAUUCAGCAAGUUUGAUGUCUGUUCCACUUGAAAUAUGAAUUUUCACAAUACAGGAGAUAACUCAUAAUACUCGGAAGGCUCAGCAGUUCACUCUUAGGGAUUUUGGUUUCAUUUAGGAGUGCUCUGAACUUCUGAGCAUUCAGAGGUGUCUCAAGUCAGGCAAGUAAAAGUUCAGAAUAGAGGGGUAGUGGGACUUGCCUGUGGAGAGUUUGUCACUACUUUGAAGAGAUGAAUAAGCACACUCUAUGGAAAGGAACUGGGAGAUAAUAGGGCAUUCUAGGACUUCUCUCCCUGCCACUCCACCCUCCCAAAAAAACCAUAAUAUCUAUGCUUCUGAAAUUUAAAGCAGUAGCCUUAGGCAUUCUGGAAUUAAUAACUUGGUAUGGCACUGUGAAUUUGGUAGUACCACUAUCCAUCAAAUACAAUAAUUAAAUCACAUUAGUCACUCAGAACACAAAAGAGUAAAAGAUGGUGACUGAGCAGGGUUCUGUCCUUCAACACAUAAUCUCAUUUUGACUCACCAUUUAUAGAGCUCUUAGGCUUUGGUGAGACUCAAUGCCACUGACAUUACCUCUAAAACAGAGGUUGGAUACAAGUGAUAGAUUUCUGAGAGGCACUGCUAGACCUCUCUGCUGUAUCUUGUAAUGGAUUAUCUCUUAAUCGUAAUUUUAGACUCAUGAGCAACUGCAUUCCAAUUAUAUGUAGCUAGUGAGAGUUUUCACUUAGUACUGAAAAAGUGGAGAUUUUAAAAUUGUGCUCAGUAUUUCAGUACUUUUGAAAACCCUCAGAUGUUCAGCUCCCAACCCUCUGGAUGCAUAUGCAAGGAACAUUUAUGACUUUUUACUUGAAAAUUCUCUUCAUAGAAUAUGGAAUCUUUUUUUUUUUUUCAUAUCCAUUUCUCUACUGUACCCAUUUCUCUACUGAAAAAAAAAUCUCUAAAACAUCAGUCAGUUCCUACCCUUUUCAGUUCUUUUUUAUUUGUGCAGAUAAUGGGAAGAAUGUUUAAAAUAAUCUGAAGAGCAUGGCUGGUAAAAAUGAGGUAUAACUAAAGAGAAUACAGUAGUAUCUCAGAAAUAGAUGAAAAAGCUGUGCCUAGAGAGCAAAGGACUGGAAAAAUGCCAUUUGAAAAAUCUCUAAAAGUGAGCAUCUAGAUGAAGCUGAGGCAGCAUGUGCACCUGGCAGCAAAAUCAGAUUUUCUAAGCAUAAUAUUCGCCAACAUUUUACUCUGAAAUAUCUGUUAUUUCCUGCACACUUCAAGCUAAAAUAAUAAAUGCUUGCAGAAAGCCAGAAGAAACCUUUUGAAACUAUGCAGAAUCUGGCAUUUGCUUUUGGUUUUGGUUGGUUUGGGGUUAUUGUUGUUUUUGUUGGGGUGUUAGGCUUUUUGUCCUUGGUUUUCUUUAUAGCAAGCCCUUGCUUUUUAAAGAGAUAUGCUCUUAGCAAUGGUAAACUAAAAUUUAAAUAGACAGUAGCUUUCAAACCAGAUCAUAUCUGUAGGUCUGUUUCCAAAGUGCCUAAUGAAGUAGAUGAAAUAUCCUGGAAAAUCUCCCCAGGCCAUGAUUUAAUGUAUUUUAUAUAUAUUAAUAAGUAUAUGAAUGAAAUCUUAUUUUAUAAAUACUAAAUUUCAUCAUUCUUUUUGAAAAUAUCCAGUUGGCGUUCAUUAUCCUUGAUAUUUAACUAUCAUUUUAACUAGAGUAGAAUAGAAGAGGGUAGAAUAGAAUUUCUCACAGUGGUCUGCUUCUGUGAAAUGUCUGAUUAUUCUAAAGGUUAAAAAGGUGUUAUUUUUUUUUUACUUUCACACUGGAAACACAGAGCCUUUAGUAUACUGAUGGCAUUGUUACAUCAUACUGAUGGAAUUUAUGUUUCUUUUGUUAAUCCUGCCAGGUUGCAGUGGGACAGAGAAGAGACUGUAUAGUUUUGGUGGUUGAAAUGGGCAGGAUACUCUUUUAAAUCCUCUCAGCAGCACACAGCAGAAAAUAGUGGAGGUGCUUUUAGUGAUUUACAGUGGUCAGUAGGAUUUUGUGGCUGUGUCAAAAAACCUGCACCUUUUACAUCACAGUAGUGAGAAGGAGACAGAACAUUAGAAGAGCAUCUAAUUUUGGUUAGUUAGCUCUCCAUCAUUUGGUAUGGAUGACAGCAUCUGACAGAAGGAUCGAAAAGAUAAAAGGACCUCUUUAGGAUGAACAAUUUCCUUUCAUGGUUGAAAAUAUACUUUAAUGUUUAAAAGCGCUUAAGAGACUACAUAGAGAGUAGAGUGGGAAUAAUUGCUACAAUACUUUUUUGGAAAGCCAUAUUAGCUGUUCUUCAUAUCUGUUUUAUUUCAGAACAUAGACAUAGAAUUGUUUAGGCUGGAAAAUACCUCUAAGCCAUCGAGUCCAGCCAUUAACUGCUGCUCAAGAGUGUGAAGGAGCUGGUAUGGACAAGACACAGAUUUGCUGUGUAUCAUGACCCUUUGAUAUUGAAGAACUAUGAAGGACAUGGACAAAGGCCGAGAAAGCAUAGAAAGAACAGUUUGUUAAAAGACAAAAUUGGACACAAUAUUUAGGUUUUGUAAAACUACAUUUUACUAGGUCAUGAAUUUCAUUACUUUCUCCUAAUCUUCAGCAAGCAACUUACUGCCAGCUACUGUGUACCACUAAGAAGACUGCAAAGGUAUUUCUUUCAGAUGACAAGGCCACAAAAAAAGCUCGUAUUUCACUUUGAAUUAUUUACUUUUCACUAAAAAUGUGCUUCUACAAAAAUGUACUGGCAAAAUUCUCAAAAUGCCAGAGCCAAAUUCUCAUACUAACUGCUUCAGCAUGUUCACUACCUCAUUUAGAGUGAAGGACAACAAAGCCACUGGAGAAUGGUUCAUCUGCAGCUAAACAGCCUCCCUCUUUAUAGCCCUUGUCAGUCUACAGUUCAUGCAUUCUGGAAACAAAGAUUUCUCCCAAUAAACAUUUUAUUUGAAAAAACAUCAUCCAAGAAGUAACUCAAAAUACAGAGUGGAGUAGUAAAAAAAAAAUACAUUUUGAGAGCUAAUUUUCUUUAGAAAUUCUGGAAUAAACCUUUUCACACUUCAUCACUAUUGCAAGAUAUUAAUCUGCCCUGCACCAGAGAAAGCUUCUAUUCAUUUUUUGGGUUUUGGAGUUUUUUGG
This is a long non-coding RNA of Passer domesticus (house sparrow), 5379 nucleotides long. RefSeq lists it as uncharacterized. Lineage: Eukaryota; Metazoa; Chordata; Aves; Passeriformes; Passeridae. The transcript is spliced from 3 exons. The record is from RefSeq and is a predicted model, not a curated record.